This is a long non-coding RNA of Ceratitis capitata (Mediterranean fruit fly), 541 nucleotides long. RefSeq lists it as uncharacterized. The record is from RefSeq and is a predicted model, not a curated record. The transcript has 3 exons. Lineage: Eukaryota; Metazoa; Arthropoda; Insecta; Diptera; Tephritidae.
UAGAAAUAAAAUUGUCAAUAUUAUUUAUUGAGGAAAUCAAAUGUCUAUUAGAGCCGUCAGGCCAAAUCUUUUUUUUUAGAAUUUUUUGACGCUUCACAAUUAAGGUGACGUUAUAUGUAGCAGUUUUCACACGCAAUAUUGAUUUAUCUUAAGCAUUUUUCUGUUCAAAAGAGUAAUGAAAUUGUUAAGAAGACUCUUAUUAAUAUAAUAUAUGAAUAUAAAUAUGUUUCAACGAUAAAGCUCUUUACGGUUAAAUGAGCUCAUUAAAGCCACCGAAAAAUACAAUACAUUUGGGACUAACGUGUGGAUGGUGAUUUCGCCAACUAUGGAACUGUAAAUACCUCAUAUAAUAGAAUGUAUAGCAAACGGUUAUAGAUGAUUCAGCUGGGCCGUUCUACAUCAAUUAAGCUGCCAGUAACAGUAAAGUAAAUUUUUGCGCAUUAAGAACGGCUCCAGGCUUUGGAAACGGCAUCAUGGAAACACACAUCAACUUUUAAAAGAGAGGGAGGAAGUUGAAAAGAACCUAUAUACAUACAUACGA